This 440-nucleotide unclassified non-coding RNA is filed under the name Cenococcum geophilum. Its description in RNAcentral is "partial contains ITS1, 5.8S rRNA and ITS2". The stretch from base 171 to 324 matches the Rfam family "5.8S ribosomal RNA". The record is from RNAcentral. Lineage: Eukaryota; Fungi; Ascomycota; Dothideomycetes; Gloniales; Gloniaceae.
UCCGUAGGUGAACCUGCGGAAGGAUCAUUACAGAAAGUAAACGCGGAUCAAACCGCGAACUUCUAAACCUUUGACGAUUGACUCAUGUUGCCUCGGCGGGUGCUCCCGCCAGAGGAUACAUCAAAACUCCUGUUUUAACGGUGUUGUCUGAGCUACAAGCAACGAAUCAAAACUUUCAACAACGGAUCUCUUGGUUCUGGCAUCGAUGAAGAACGCAGCGAAAUGCGAUAAGUAGUGUGAAUUGCAGAAUUCAGUGAAUCAUCGAAUCUUUGAACGCACAUUGCGCCCCUUGGUAUCCCGAGGGGCAUGCCUGUUCGAGCGUCAUUUCACCACUCAAGCCUGGCUUGGUGUUGGGCGACGUCCCCUUUGGGGACGCGCCUCGAAACGCUCGGCGGCGUGGCACCGGCUUUAAGCGUAGCAGAAUCUUUCGCUUUGAAAGU